Non-coding RNA from Atopostipes suicloacalis DSM 15692, 149 nucleotides. Lineage: Bacteria; Bacillati; Bacillota; Bacilli; Lactobacillales; Carnobacteriaceae. The record is from Rfam.
CAUCUAAGCGUGAAGCCCCCUUUAAGAUGAGAUCUCCCAUUCCUUUAAGGAAGUAAGACCCCUGAAAGACGAUCAGGUAGAUAGGCUGGAAGUGGAAGUCUAGUGAUAGAUGGAGCGGACCAGUACUAAUCGGUCGAGGACUUAACCAA